This 387-nucleotide ribosomal RNA is filed under the name uncultured eukaryote. Its description in RNAcentral is "partial 18S ribosomal RNA". It matches the Rfam family "Eukaryotic small subunit ribosomal RNA", at positions 592 to 975 of the family's 1831-position model. The record is from RNAcentral.
CAAUAGCGUAUAUUAAAGUUGUUGCAGUUAAAAAGCUCGUAGUUGGAUUUCUGGUGGGGCUGUCGGCCUGGCUCCGAAAGGGGUCGUGGUUUCGUUACACGCCUGGCCAUCCUCGGGGGAAGCUUUGCUGGCAUUAAGUUGUCGGCGGAGUGACGCUCGUCGUUUACUGUGAACAAAUUAGAGUGUUCAAAGCAGGCUUAGGCCGUUGAAUACAUUAGCAUGGAAUAAUGAGAUAGGACUUUGGUGGUCUAUUUUGUUGGUUUGCACGCCGAAGUAAUGAUUAAUAGGGGCGGUUGGGGGUAUUCGUAUUCAAUUGUCAGAGGUGAAAUUCUUGGAUUUAUGGAAGACGAACUACUGCGAAAGCAUUUACCAAGGAUGUUUNCAUUA